AUGAAGAGUAACAAAAAAGAUGAAAGCUUUGCACAAAAGGGUAUCUUAAUUCAUAGCCAAGUUAUGAAGAUCAAGCAAGAAUCUGAGAAAAUCUAUGAUUGGUCAUUUGGUCAAGUCGAAGUAAGACCAGGUUUAAGGGAGAUUUCGCGGCAGAUUUCUCGGUCACCAUUGGGAUUUUCCGGCCAAACAAUUUCAGUUGGGGAUUCAUAG
Molecule: non-coding RNA, 210 nt
Organism: Vicia faba (fava bean)
Lineage: Eukaryota; Viridiplantae; Streptophyta; Magnoliopsida; Fabales; Fabaceae
Source: the annotation of a GenBank genome assembly